UACAGAGGGUGCGAGCGUUAAUCGGAAUUACUGGGCGUAAAGCGCGCGUAGGCGGCUUUGCAAGUCGGGUGUGAAAUCCCCAGGCUUAACCUGGGAACUGCAUUCGAGACUGCAUUGCUAGAGUAUGGGAGAGGGAAGUGGAAUUUCCGGUGUAGCGGUGAAAUGCGUAGAUAUCGGGAGGAACACCAGCGGCGAAGGCGGCUUUCUGGACCAAUACUGACGCUGAGACGCGAAAGCGUGGGGAGCAAACAGG
This 253-nucleotide ribosomal RNA is filed under the name uncultured bacterium. Its description in RNAcentral is "partial 16S ribosomal RNA". It matches the Rfam family "Bacterial small subunit ribosomal RNA", at positions 524 to 776 of the family's 1533-position model. The record is from RNAcentral.